AUUGAACGCUGGCGGCAUGCCUUACACAUGCCAGUCGAACGGCAGCACGGGUGCUUGCACCUGGUGGCGAGUGGCGAACGGGUGAGUAAUACAUCGGAACAUGUCCUGUAGUGGGGGAUAGCCCGGCGAAAGCCGGAUUAAUACUGCAUACGAUCUACGGAUGAAGGCGGGGGCCCUUCGUGACUCGCGCUAUAGGGUUGGCCGAUGGCUGAUUAGCUCGUUGGUGGGGUAAAGGUCUACCAAGGCGGCGCUCAGUAUCUGGUCUGAGAGGACGACCAGCCAAACGGGGACUGAGACACGGCCCAGACUCCUACGGGAGGCAGCAGUGGGGAAUUUUGGACAAUGGGCGAAAGCCUGAUCCAGCAAUGCCGCGUGUGGGAAGAAGGCCUUCGGGUUGUAAAGCACUUUUGUCCGGAAAGAAAUCCUUGGCUCUAAAACAGUCGGGGGAUGACGGUACCGGAAGAAUAAGCACCGGCUAACUACGUG
RNAcentral lists this ribosomal RNA (486 nucleotides) under uncultured bacterium. RNAcentral describes it as "partial 16S ribosomal RNA". It matches the Rfam family "Bacterial small subunit ribosomal RNA", at positions 30 to 507 of the family's 1533-position model. The record is from RNAcentral.